This is a long non-coding RNA of Rhineura floridana, 311 nucleotides long. RefSeq lists it as uncharacterized. NCBI's taxonomy places the organism in Eukaryota, Metazoa, Chordata, Lepidosauria, Squamata, Rhineuridae. The record is from RefSeq and is a predicted model, not a curated record. The transcript has 3 exons.
CAAGCAGAUGGUCAGCGUCAUGAGCUCUGACAGUACUGAGCUCCAGCUGGAAGCCUGAGCGAGUCUAGAUCCUUUAAGCCACAAACAGGAUUUAUAUGAAGGCUGAGAUAUAAACAGAACCAAAAAAAAAAAAAAAUAGAGACAAAGAAUAUGGAGUCCUGGAUUCAAGUCUCACAUAGGAACAAAGAUUUCCUGCUGCCCGCGUGCGACUGCAAGCCCUAAAAGUUUAUCUUAUUCGAUGAAUUUAUAUGGUAGCUACGAUGCCGGAUGGUGUUAUACAGUUCUUAAGUAGUUCCACAUGGCCUCUGUAG